This 460-nucleotide ribosomal RNA is filed under the name uncultured bacterium. RNAcentral describes it as "partial 16S ribosomal RNA". It matches the Rfam family "Bacterial small subunit ribosomal RNA", at positions 338 to 795 of the family's 1533-position model. The record is from RNAcentral.
CCUACGGGAGGCAGCAGUGAGGAAUAUUGGUCAAUGGGCGCGAGCCUGAACCAGCCAAGUAGCGUGAAGGAUGACUGCCCUACGGGUUGUAAACUUCUUUUAUAAGGGAAUAAAGUGAGGCACGUGUGCUUCUUUGCAUGUACUUUAUGAAUAAGGAUCGGCUAACUCCGUGCCAGCAGCCGCGGUAAUACGGAGGAUCCGAGCGUUAUCCGGGUUUAUUGGGUUUAAAGGGAGCGUAGUUGGGUUGUUAAGUCAGUUGUGAAAGUUUGCGGCUCAACCGUGAAAUUGCAAUUGAUACUGGAAGCCUUGAGUACAGUUGAGGUAGGCGGAAUUCGUGGUGUAGCGGUGAAAUGCUUAGAUAUCACGAAGAACUCCGAUUGCGAAGGCAGCCUACUAGACUGCCACUGACAUUGAUGCUCGAAAGUGCGGGUAUCAAACAGGAUUAGAUACCCCAGUAGUC